CUGGCGGCGUGCUUAACACAUUGCAAGUUCGAACGAUGAAGCCUAGCUUUGCUAGGUUGGAUUAGUCGGCGAACGGGUUGAGUAAUACGUGAGUCGACCUACCUUUUGACUCUGGGAUAAGCCUGGGAAACUGGGUCUAAUACCGGAUACGACCAAUCUCCGCAUGGGGUGUUGGUGGAAAGCGUUAUGGAGUGGUUUUAGAUGGGCUCACGGCCUAUCAGCUUGUUGGUGAGGUAAUGGCUUACCAAGGCGACGACGGGUAGCCGGCCUGAGAGGGUGACCGGCCACACUGGGACUGAGACACGGCCCAGACUCCUACGGGAGGCAGCAGUGGGGAAUAUUGCACAAUGGGCGCAAGCCUGAUGCAGCGACGCCGCGUGAGGGAUGACGGCCUUCGGGUUGUAAACCUCUGUUAGCAUCGAAGAAGCGAAAGUGACGGUAGGUGCAGAGAAAGCGCCGGCUAACUACGUGCCAGCAGCCGCGGUAAUACGUAGGGCGCGAGCGUUGUCCGGAAUUAUUGGGCGUAAAGAGCUUGUAGGCGGUUGGUCGCGUCUGCUGUGAAAGGCUGGGGCUUAACCCUGGUUUUGCAGUGGGUACGGGCUAACUAGAGUGCAGUAGGGGAGACUGGAAUUCCUGGUGUAGCGGUGGAAUGCGCAGAUAUCAGGAGGAACACCGAUGGCGAAGGCAGGUCUCUGGGCUGUAACUGACGCUGAGAAGCGAAAGCAUGGGGAGCGAACAGGAUUAGGUACCCUGGUAGUCCAUGCCGUAAACGUUGGGCACUAGGUGUGGGGGACAUUCCACGUUUUCCGCGCCGUAGCUAACGCAUUAAGUGCCCCGCCUGGGGAGUACGGCCGCAAGGCUAAAACUCAAAGAAAUUGACGGGGGCCCGCACAAGCGGCGGAGCAUGCGGAUUAAUUCGAUGCAACGCGAAGAACCUUACCAAGGCUUGACAUAUACUGGACUGCGUCAGAGAUGGCGUUUCCCUUCGGGGCUGGUAUACAGGUGGUGCAUGGUUGUCGUCAGCUCGUGUCGUGAGAUGUUGGGUUAAGUCCCGCAACGAGCGCAACCCUCGUUCUAUGUUGCCAGCACGUGAUGGUGGGGACUCAUAGGAGACUGCCGGGGUCAACUCGGAGGAAGGUGGGGAUGACGUCAAAUCAUCAUGCCCCUUAUGUCUUGGGCUUCACGCAUGCUACAAUGGCCGGUACAGAGGGUUGCGAUACUGUGAGGUGGAGCUAAUCCCUAAAAGCCGGUCUCAGUUCGGAUUGGGGUCUGCUAACUCGACCCCUUGAAAGUCGGAGUCGCUAGUAAUCGCUGUUUCUGCUGACGCUGCGGUGUAUUACGUUUCUCGGGCCUUUUUCGCCCCUCCC
RNAcentral lists this ribosomal RNA (1367 nucleotides) under uncultured bacterium. RNAcentral's name for it is "bacterial SSU rRNA". It matches the Rfam family "Bacterial small subunit ribosomal RNA", at positions 36 to 1395 of the family's 1533-position model. The record is from RNAcentral.